Molecule: ribosomal RNA, 265 nt
Filed under: uncultured bacterium
Lineage: Bacteria
Description: partial 16S ribosomal RNA
Rfam family: Bacterial small subunit ribosomal RNA
Source: RNAcentral
GUCCACGCCCUAAACUAUGUCAACUGGUUGUCGGGGGAUUGAUUCCCUUGGUAACGAAGCUAACGCGUGAAGUUGACCGCCUUGGUAGUACGGCCGCAAGGUUAAAACUCAAAGGAAUUGACGGGGACCCGCACAAGCGGUGGAUUAUGUGGAUUAAUUCGAUGCAACGCGAAAAACCUUACCUACCCUUGACUUGUAGCGAACCUCGCAGAGAUGUGAGGGUGCCCGAAAGGGAACGCUAACACAGGUGCUGCAUGGCUGUCGU